RNAcentral lists this small nucleolar RNA (49 nucleotides) under Pyrobaculum calidifontis JCM 11548. RNAcentral describes it as "PCAsR51". Lineage: Archaea; Thermoproteati; Thermoproteota; Thermoprotei; Thermoproteales; Thermoproteaceae. The record is from RNAcentral.
GUGAUGUAGCUAGGCGCUGCGGAAUAUGAAGACCGCUCGAGAGGGCUGA